GAUGAACGCUGGCGGCGUGCUUAACACAUGCCAGUCGAACGGAAAGGCCCAAGCUUGCUUGGGUACUCGAGUGGCGAACGGGUGAGUAACACGUGGGUGAUCUGCCCUGCACUUCGGGAUAAGCCUGGGAAACUGGGUCUAAUACUGGAUAGGACCACUUCUUGGAUGGUGUGGUGGAAAGUUUUUUCGGUGUGGGAUGAGCUCGCGGCCUAUCAGCUUGUUGGUGGGGUAAUGGCCUACCAAGGCGUCGACGGGUAGCCGGCCUGAGGGGGUGUACGGCCACAUUGGGACUGAGAUACGGCCCAGACUCCUACGGGAGGCAGCAGUGGGGAAUAUUGCACAAUGGGCGCAAGCCUGAUGCAGCGACGCCGCGUGGGGGAUGACGGCCUUCGGGUUGUAAACUCCUUUCGCUAGGGACGAAGCGUUUUUGUGACGGUACCUGGAGAAGAAGCACCGGCUAACUACGUG
Molecule: ribosomal RNA, 468 nt
Filed under: uncultured bacterium
Lineage: Bacteria
Description: partial 16S ribosomal RNA
Rfam family: Bacterial small subunit ribosomal RNA
Source: RNAcentral